This 353-nucleotide ribosomal RNA is filed under the name uncultured bacterium. Its description in RNAcentral is "bacterial SSU rRNA". It matches the Rfam family "Bacterial small subunit ribosomal RNA", at positions 8 to 351 of the family's 1533-position model. The record is from RNAcentral.
AGAGUUUGAUCAUGGCUCAGGAUGAACGCUAGCUACAGGCUUAACACAUGCAAGUCGAGGGGAAACGACAUCGAAAGCUUGCUUUUGAUGGGCGUCGACCGGCGCACGGGUGAGUAACGCGUAUCCAACCUGCCCACCACUUGGGGAUAACCUUGCCGAAAGUAAGACUAAUACCCAAUGACGUCUCUAGAAGACAUCUGAAAGAGAUUAAAGAUUUAUCGGUGAUGGAUGGGGAUGCGUCUGAUUAGCUUGUUGGCGGGGUAACGGCCACCAAGGCGACGAUCAGUAGGGGUUCUGAGAGGAAGGUCCCCACAUUGGAACUGAGACACGGUCCAAACUCCUACGGGAAGCGA